UACGUAGGGUGCAAGCGUUAAUCGGAAUUACUGGGCGUAAAGCGUGCGCAGGCGGUUUUGUAAGUCUGUCGUGAAAUCCCCGGGCGUCAACCUGGGAAGUUGUCGAUGGAGACUGCAAGGCGUAGAAUCUGGCGAGAGGGGGGUAGGAAUUCCACGUGUAGCAGUGAAAUAGCGUAGAGAUGUGGAGGAACACCGAUGGCGAAGGC
This 206-nucleotide ribosomal RNA is filed under the name uncultured bacterium. RNAcentral's name for it is "partial 16S ribosomal RNA". It matches the Rfam family "Bacterial small subunit ribosomal RNA", at positions 524 to 722 of the family's 1533-position model. The record is from RNAcentral.